UUGUAAUUUCGGCUCAGGCUCUAAGGGAUUCCUAAGGGUGGCAAAUGUGCAAAUCUACUGGGACAUUCUUUCUUAGGGGAGGGGAUGGGGAGCCAAAGGAACUUAAGAAUUCUCUCGCUGCGUUGGAGCCCAGCUGCCAGGGCUUAAGCUGAAGAGGCAGAGAGGACUCAAAGCGGCAAGCCCUGGGCUGAUUUCACUGGUCCUGCUACAGAUGGGAUUGUCCCGUUGGUUUGGCAAGAGCCUGCUGGGCUUAAAGUGAAAUGAAACCGGGGGCCCUGGGGACAGCAAAGGAAAUUACAAAUGACAGCUGCGUAGUUUAAUAGCAACAUCUGGUCCAGAGGCUUCAUCUCAGACCGCUGAAGUUGGGGUUAAUUAGGAAAUAGAGAGUGGCACACAUCCAGGACAAGGGAAGGGCCUGGUCUUCUCAAGACCCCUCAAAGUCUUGUGUCUCAGGAAUUUUCUCAGCGCUAGGAAAACCGGGGCGGUUAGUCCCCCCAUGGCCGAGAGCUGGUAGAUGGCUUCUUUCUCUCAGUACGAUCAUCCUAUUCUCUUCACCAAAAUGAGCAGCAGAGAAACAUCAGCAACAACCUUGAGGCUUUUCAAGAACGGCAAGGAACGAGAAAAAAAAAAGUGAGACAAUUCUAUACUUAUGUCUGCACAAGGACAAAAACAGAUGUGCAGCUACAAAAGUGACCAAACACCCCCCUCUCCUGGCUAACUGGAGAGACUACCGCUUCUUCAGCGCUAAGUCUGGCCUUGUUUUUAUCCUUCUGCCCAGGAAAUAUAAAUAGACAUAACCAUUAAAUACCGUUGCGUUUUUACAGGUUUAAUAUAACAUAGACUCCUGCUUCCUUGGGCUCACCUCCAAAUAAGCUAACACAGCCCAACUCCCAGAAUAAACCCCUCUCUCUCCGAAGGGCUCCAUUACGGCACACAGAGUGAGGUCUCCUCACAGCACAGAGCAAAUGCAGCCCCUUGGAUUGCCACCUUUCUUUCUUGAACUGUGACCUUAAAUUGAACAUACUUAGGAGUGCACACCCUUACCCCAGCAUGCUUAAUAAUGUGAGCACAUCGGGUUUAUUUCUGGAGCCUCCCUAACUCCGGGGCACUGAAGCGUGGGAAGAGGAGCUCCCUCUAACUUGUGACUCUCUACUGCUGGACCAUCUCUACGAGGGGAUCGGACGUUUCUUUAAAGUAGAAUCGUUCACUGGAAAUUCCCAUUUUCAGAGGCUCCCCACUUUGCAGGUAUUGGACUAGCUCACCCCACGGACUGGUCCAUGGACUGGUCCAGGACUGGUCACCCCACGGACUGGUCCAGGACUGGACAUGGUCGUCAGUGCUGUCUGCAAUAGAUGCUUUAGUUCUUCUCAGCUUCCAGACACAGAAGGGGAGAUGGAGCAUAUCUACGAAGAGAGAUGCAUUAGACGUAGCCAAGUUGGGGCUAACGAGAUGACUCAGUGGGUAAAGACUGGCUCUCACCUGACAACUUGGGUUUGAUACCUGGAACCUAUAUGGUGGAGGCAGAGAACUUGUUCCUGCAGUUUGUCAUUUGACUUCCAUACACGUGUCGUAGCACACAUGCAGCCAUGCAACACACAUGUACACAAAAUAACUAAAAAUGGAAUUAAAAAAGUAGCUGAGUCAGAAUUCACUCCACCGAGAUGACCCUAGGACCUCCCUAAAACCCAGAGCAGAGGCAGGGUUUGGGGGACAAAGCACAAAUGGCUUGGUGAAAAUGUACUGGGGCAUGGCGGGCUGG
Long non-coding RNA from Myodes glareolus (Bank vole), 1759 nucleotides. RefSeq lists it as uncharacterized. The record is from RefSeq and is a predicted model, not a curated record. Lineage: Eukaryota; Metazoa; Chordata; Mammalia; Rodentia; Cricetidae.